UAAACCGACACAGGUGGAUUAGUAGAGGAUACUAAGGUGAUUGGAAGAACAACUUUGAAGGAACUCGGCAAAUUAAUUCCGUAACAUUAGGAUAAGGAAUACUCAUAUUUAUUAUUUAAAUGAUAAUUAAAAAUAAUUAUAAAUAUGAAUGCAGUUUAAUUUAGUUGUAAAUUAGAUUUGUGUCACAGAAUAGGGUGUAGCGACUGUUUAAUAAAAACACAGGACUUUGCUAAAUAGUAAUAGAUGUAUAAGGUCUGACGUCUGCCCGGUGAUGAAUAAUUAAUAGGAGAGAUAUUUUAUUUUAUUAAGAAUUUAAUUUUAUAAAAUGUUUGAAUAUAAGUGUCAUUAAACGGCGGCUGUAACUCUGACGGUCCUAAGGUAGCGAAAUUCCUUGUCAAUUAAGUAUUGACCCGCAUGAAUGACGUAACGACUUCACCA
RNAcentral lists this ribosomal RNA (438 nucleotides) under uncultured bacterium. Its description in RNAcentral is "bacterial LSU rRNA". It matches the Rfam family "Bacterial large subunit ribosomal RNA", at positions 1649 to 2015 of the family's 2925-position model. The record is from RNAcentral.